UAAUACGUAGGAGGCAAGCGUUAUCCGGAUUUACUGGGCGUAAAGAGGGCGUAGGCGGCUUUUCAAGUCGGAUGUAAAAUCUCCCGGCUUAACUGGGAGGGAUCAUCCGAUACUGUUAGGCUAGAGGACAGCAGAGGGAGGUGGAAUUCCCGGUGUAGUGGUGAAAUGCAUAGAUAUCGGGAGGAACACCAGUGGCGAAGGCGGCCUCCUGGGCUGUUUCUGACGCUGAGGCCCGAAAGCGUGGGGAGCGAACAGAAUUAGAUACUCUGGUAGUCCACGCCGUAAACGAUGGACACUAGGUAUGGGGAGUAUCGACCCUCUCCGUGCCGAAGCUAACGCAUUAAGUGUCCCGCCUGGGGAGUACGGUCGCAAGGCUG
RNAcentral lists this ribosomal RNA (377 nucleotides) under uncultured Chloroflexota bacterium. Its description in RNAcentral is "bacterial SSU rRNA". It matches the Rfam family "Bacterial small subunit ribosomal RNA", at positions 521 to 896 of the family's 1533-position model. Lineage: Bacteria; Bacillati; Chloroflexota. The record is from RNAcentral.